Molecule: long non-coding RNA, 803 nt
Organism: Astatotilapia calliptera (eastern happy)
Lineage: Eukaryota; Metazoa; Chordata; Actinopteri; Cichliformes; Cichlidae
Source: Ensembl
CUCUCAGUAUUAUUGUGUGCUCACUGUGUUUUCUUUAAUUAUAUGGAGUGGGAUUUUGUUCAAUUUCACAGUUGCACAAACAUGCAGCAAUUAUUCCUGAUAAGUGAUAACGAAUCACUGAACAUUAAAUAAGUGUGUUCUUGUGUGCGGGCAAGCAGGCACGCAUGUUUGUGCCUCUGCACCACGGACUUGAGCUCCAUGUCACAAACUGCUCAUGGACAUAGAAUUCCAAUUAGCGUUAAAUAUAACAAGAGCAACUGUUCUGCAUGGGUGUGUCACUGUGCAUCCAUAAUCCCAUCCAUAAUCCCAUCCAUAAUCAUAUUCACUGAUCACUUGUUUGUUUUGGCAGCACUGUGGCCUUGAGUCAUUUGUUUGUGUGUUUGGAUUGCAGUGCAAACAGUGUAGUAGGAGUUUUCAUUGAACAUGUUAAUCCUGCAAAUGGGAACUGGACAGAAACUGGAGAAGCUCCACCAGGAAAGUUUUCGGUUAGCAGAGCAGAGAGCCGAGGGAGGAGGAGCAUCACUGCGAAAACCUUUGCCAGCAUUUGUCCAUCCAGCAGCCAGCAGUCAUGGCAGCUGGAUGGAGGUUCAGCUGAAGAGCUUGUCCUUGAAGUUACUUCACCCUUAAGAAGGCAAUUCUUGAAAUGGACAGACUGCAUCACUCCAAUUUUCUUACAGGGACACUAGACACAAACAGGCUUUUGUGCAUCAAUUGCCGCUGCCCAUUUGCAUUGCAUACAAAGGCACUCUGCGAAAGCCAUUUUAAAGUGAAGGACGGUUAACAACAAGCAUACAUUGCCUCCU